GCGGCGCACAUAAGACAUGCAAGUCGAACGGACUUAACCAUUAUUUUACUAUUGGAGCGGUUAGUGGCGGACUGGUGAGUAACACGUAAGCAACCUGCCUAUCAGAGGGGAACAACAGUUAGAAAUGACUGCUAAUACCGCAUAUGCCUUAAUUACCACAUGGUAAUAGAGGGAAAGGAGCAAUCCGCUGAUAGAUGGGCUUGCGUCUGAUUAGAUAGUUGGUAAGGUAACGGCUUACCAAGUCGACGAUCAGUAGGCGGACUGAGAGGUUGAACGGCCACAUUGGGACUGAGAUACGGCCCAGACUCCUACGGGAGGCAGCAGUCGGGAAUAUUGCGCAAUGGAGGAAACUCUGACGCAGUGACGCCGCGUGCAGGAAGAAGGUUUUCGGAUUGUAAACUGCUUUAGACAGGGAAGAAACAAGACAGUACCUGUAGAAUAAGCUCCGGCUAACUACGUGCCAGCAGCCGCGGUAAUACGUAGGGAGCAAGCGUUAUCCGGAUUUAUUGGGUGUAAAGGGUGCGUAGACGGGAAUGCAAGUUGGUUGUGAAAUCCCUCGGCUCAACCGAGGAAUUGCAACCAAAACUAUAUUUCUUGAGUGCUGGAGAGGAAAGUGGAAUUCCUAGUGUAGCGGUGAAAUGCGUAGAUAUUAGGAGGAACACCAGUGGCGAAGGCGAUUUUCUGGACAGUAACUGACGUUGAGGCACGAAAAGUGUGGGGAGCAAACAGGAUUAGAUACCCUGGUAGUCCACACCGUAAACGAUGGAUACUAGGUGUAGGGGAUGAAUAAUCUUCUGUGCUGUCGCAAACGCAGUAAGUAUCCCACCUGGGGAGUGCGGCCGCAAGGUUGAAACUCAAAGGAAUUGACGGGGGCCCGCACAAGCAGUGGAGUAUGUGGUUUAAUUCGACGCAACGCGAAGAACCUUACCAGGGCUUGACAUAUACAUGAAAAUCUAAGAGAUUAGAUCCCUCUUCGGAGCAUGUAUACAGGUGGUGCAUGGUUGUCGUCAGCUCGUGUCGUGAGAUGUUGGGUUAAGUCCCGCAACGAGCGCAACCCCUGUUCUUAGUUGCCAGCAUGUAAAGAUGGGAACUCUAAGAAGACUGCCGGUGAUAAAUCGGAGGAAGGUGGGGACGACGUCAAAUCAUCAUGCCCUUUAUGUCCUGGGCUACACACGUACUACAAUGGCUGUAACAAAGGGAAGCGAACCCGCGAGGGGAAGCAAAACCCAUAAAAGCAGUCUCAGUUCGGAUUGAAGGCUGAAAUUCGCCUUCAUGAAGCCGGAAUUGCUAGUAAUGGCAGGUCAGCAUACUGCCGUGAAUACGUUCCCGGGCCUUGUACACACCGCCCGUCACACCAUGAGAGUUGGGGAUACCCGAAGCCUGUGAGCUAACUGUAAAGAGGCAGCAGUCGAAGGUAGAAUCAAUGAUUGG
RNAcentral lists this ribosomal RNA (1431 nucleotides) under uncultured organism. Its description in RNAcentral is "16S ribosomal RNA". It matches the Rfam family "Bacterial small subunit ribosomal RNA". The record is from RNAcentral.